This 1201-nucleotide ribosomal RNA is filed under the name uncultured marine eukaryote. Its description in RNAcentral is "SSU rRNA". It matches the Rfam family "Eukaryotic small subunit ribosomal RNA", at positions 1 to 1349 of the family's 1831-position model. The record is from RNAcentral.
UAACCUGGUUGAUCCUGCCAGUAGUCAUAUGCUUGUCUCAAAGACUAAGCCAUGCACGUCUAAGUACAAACUAAAUGAUGGUGAAACUGCAAAUGGCUCAUUACAACGGUUAUGAUGUACCCGGGAGUUCCGAUGGAUAUUUCCAGUAACACUAGAACUAAUACAUGUCCCUGCGUUUAUUAGUUUCGCACAGUCCGUCGCUGAGUCAUGGUAAACAGUUGAUCGACUCGACGUCCCGGAACAGUUUCCGCCCCAUCAGCUUCGAUGGUUGGGUAUUGGCCUACCAUUGCAACAACGGGUAACGAGGAAUUAGGGUUUGAUUUCGGAGAGGGAGCCUGAGAAACGGCUACCACAUCUACGGAUGGCAGCAGGCGCGCAAAUUACCCAAUGCAGACACUGUGAGGUAGUGACGAGAAAUAAUAAAGCGGGACUUCUGUUUCGCUAUUAUAAUGAGGAAUAACCAAAGGUCAUUCCGAUUAGCAACUGAUGGGAAAGUCUGGUGCCAGCAGCCGCGGUAAUACCAGCGUCAGUAGCAUAUAUUAAAAUUGUUGCAGUUAAAACGUCCGUAGUCUGUACGUCGUCCUAAACUCACUGCAGUCUUCCGUUUUCUUAAUUGAAUGCGGUAGUUUCUGCAGUCACUCCCUUGAUCAAAUUAGGUUGUUCAAGGUAGACCAAGUCUUCAUAUUUUCACAUGGAAUUGGGUGAGGGAACUUAAGAGUUUAAGUUUCUCGUCUUAGGAUCAUCCGGGGUCAUUCGUACUCGUCCGCGAGAGGUGAAAUUCUUGGACCGGACGAAGACGACCAGCAGCGAAAGCAUCUGUCAGGGAUGUUUUCUGCGACAAAGGACGAAGGUCAGGGUAUCGAAGACGAUUAGAUACCGUCGUAGUCCUGACUGUAAACUAUGCCAACUUGGGUCUUGCUGGGCGAUGCUUUGUGAGACCCACACAGAAAUGAAAGUGUAUGGGUUCUGGGGGUAGUAUGGACACAAGUCUGAAACUUGAAGGAAUUGACGGAAGAGCACCAUAAGACGUGGAGCUUGCGGCUUAAUUUGACUCAACGCGGGAAAACUUACCAGGUCAAGACAUGGGCGUGAUUGACAGGCUAAUGACUUUUCUCGAUUCCAUGGAUGGUGGUGCAUGGUCGCACUUAGUUGGUGCAGUGAUUUGUCAGGUUUAUUCCGGUAACGAACGAGACCUCAGCCU